RNAcentral lists this ribosomal RNA (253 nucleotides) under uncultured bacterium. RNAcentral describes it as "partial 16S ribosomal RNA". It matches the Rfam family "Archaeal small subunit ribosomal RNA", at positions 474 to 727 of the family's 1478-position model. The record is from RNAcentral.
UACCAGCACCCCGAGUGGUCGGGACGAUUAUGGGGCCUAAAGCAUCCGUAGCCGGCCUUACAAGUCCUCCGUUAAAUCCAGCUGCUUAACAGAUGGGCUGCGGAGGAUACUAUAAGACUAGGAGGCAGGAGAGGCAAGCGGUACUCAGUGGGUAGGGGUAAAAUCCGUUGAUCCAUUGAAGACCACCAGUGGCGAAGGCGGCUUGCCAGAAUGCGCUCGACGGUGAGGGAUGAAAGCUGGGGGAGCAAACCGG